UGACCCUUGAAAAUCGGAUUCAGAUGCUGG
Molecule: non-coding RNA, 30 nt
Filed under: Rattus norvegicus (Norway rat)
Lineage: Eukaryota; Metazoa; Chordata; Mammalia; Rodentia; Muridae
Source: RNAcentral